GAUGAAGAACGUAGUGAAAUGCGAUAAGUAAUGUGAAUUGCAGAAUUCAGUGAAUCAUCGAAUCUUUGAACGCACAUUGCGCCCGCCAGUAUUCUGGCGGGCAUGCCUGUUCGAGCGUCAUUUCAACCAUCAAGCCCCAGGCUUGUGUUGGGGACCUGCGGCUGCCGCAGGCCCUGAAAACCAGUGGCGGGCUCGCUGUCACACCGGGCGUAGUAGAUUUUAUCUCGCUCAGGGCGUGCUGCGGGUCCCGGCCGUUAAAAGCCUUUUUUUACCCAAGGUUGACCUCGGAUCAGGUAGGAAGACCAGCUGAACUUAAGCAUAUCAAUAAGCGGAGGA
This 336-nucleotide unclassified non-coding RNA is filed under the name soil metagenome. Its description in RNAcentral is "partial contains 5.8S ribosomal RNA, internal transcribed spacer 2, and large subunit ribosomal RNA". The stretch from base 1 to 120 matches the Rfam family "5.8S ribosomal RNA", at positions 35 to 154 of the family's 154-position model. The record is from RNAcentral.